GCGCCGGUGGUGUAAGGCGAACAUCGCUGCCCGGAAAGCAGAUGAUGCGAGUUCGAGUCCCGUCUGGCGCA
Heligmosomoides polygyrus is the source of this 71-nucleotide non-coding RNA. Lineage: Eukaryota; Metazoa; Nematoda; Chromadorea; Rhabditida; Heligmosomidae. The record is from Rfam.